GAUGAACGCUGGCGGCGUGCCUAAUACAUGCAAGUCGAGCGAACAGAUGAGGAGCUUGCUCCUCUGACGUUAGCAGCGGACGGGUGAGUAACACGUGGAUAACCUACCUAUAAGACUGGGAUAACUUCGGGAAACCGGAGCUAAUACCGGAUAAUAUAUUGAACCGCAUGGUUCAAUAGUGAAAGACGGUUUUGCUGUCACUUAUAGAUGGAUCCGCGCCGCAUUAGCUAGUUGGUAAGGUAACGGCUUACCAAGGCAACGAUGCGUAGCCGACCUGAGAGGGUGAUCAGCCACACUGGAACUGAGACACGGUCCAGACUCCUACGGGAGGCAGCAGUAGGGAAUCUUCCGCAAUGGGCGAAAGCCUGACGGAGCAACGCCGCGUGAGUGAUGAAGGUCUUCGGAUCGUAAAACUCUGUUAUUAGGGAAGAACAAAUGUGUAAGUAACUAUGCACGUCUUGACGGUACCUAAUCAGAAAGCCACGGCUAACUACGUG
This 497-nucleotide ribosomal RNA is filed under the name uncultured bacterium. RNAcentral's name for it is "partial 16S ribosomal RNA". It matches the Rfam family "Bacterial small subunit ribosomal RNA", at positions 28 to 507 of the family's 1533-position model. The record is from RNAcentral.